AAUUGACGGGGACCCGCACAAGCGGUGGAUGAUGUGGUUUAAUUCGAUGCAACGCGAAAAACCUUACCCACCUUUGACAUGGCAGGAAGUUUCCAGAGAUGGAUUCGUGCUCGAAAGAGAACCUGCACACAGGUGCUGCAUGGCUGUCGUCAGCUCGUGUCGUGAGAUGUUGGGUUAAGUCCCGCAACGAGCGCAACCCUUGCCAUUAGUUGCUACGAAAGGGCACUCUAAUGGGACUGCCGGUGACAAACCGGAGGAAGGUGGGGAUGACGUCAAGUCCUCAUGGCCCUUAUAGGUGGGGCUACACACGUCAUACAAUGGCCGGUACAAAGGGUCGCAAACCCGCGAGGGGGAGCCAAUCCAUCAAAGCCGGUCGUAGUCCGGAUCGCAGUCUGCAACUCGACUGCGUGAAGUCGGAAUCGCUAGUAAUCGUGGAUCAGCAUGUCACGGUGAAUACGUUCCCGGGUCUUGUACACACCGCCCGUCACACCAUGGGAGCGGGUCUCGCCAGAAGUAGUUAGCCUAACCGCAAGGAGGGCG
Molecule: ribosomal RNA, 540 nt
Filed under: uncultured bacterium
Lineage: Bacteria
Description: bacterial SSU rRNA
Rfam family: Bacterial small subunit ribosomal RNA
Source: RNAcentral